Molecule: ribosomal RNA, 732 nt
Filed under: Staphylococcus pseudintermedius
Lineage: Bacteria; Bacillati; Bacillota; Bacilli; Caryophanales; Staphylococcaceae
Description: partial 23S ribosomal RNA
Rfam family: Bacterial large subunit ribosomal RNA
Source: RNAcentral
CUCCUAAGGCUAAAUACUCUCUAGUGACCGAUAGUGAACCAGUACCGUGAGGGAAAGGUGAAAAGUACCCCGGAAGGGGAGUGAAAGAGAACUUGAAACCGUGUGCUUACAAGUAGUCAGAGCCCGUUAAUGGGUGAUGGCGUGCCUUUUGUAGAAUGAACCGGCGAGUUACGAUCUGAUGCAAGGUUAAGCAGAAAAUGUGGAGCCGUAGCGAAAGCGAGUCUGAAUAGGGCGAAUGAGUAUUUGGUCGUAGACCCGAAACCAGGUGAUCUACCCUUGGUCAGGUUGAAGUUCAGGUAACACUGAAUGGAGGACCGAACCGACUUACGUUGAAAAGUGAGCGGAUGAACUGAGGGUAGCGGAGAAAUUCCAAUCGAACUUGGAGAUAGCUGGUUCUCUCCGAAAUAGCUUUAGGGCUAGCCUCAAGUGAUGAUUAUUGGAGGUAGAGCACUGUUUGGACGAGGGGCCCCUCUCGGGUUACCGAAUUCAGACAAACUCCGAAUGCCAAAUAAUUUAACUUGGGAGUCAGAAUGUGGGUGAUAAGGUCCAUAUUCGAAAGGGAAACAGCCCAGACCACCAGCUAAGGUCCCAAAAUAUAUGUUAAGUGGAAAAGGAUGUGGCGUUGCCCAGACAACUAGGAUGUUGGCUUAGAAGCAGCCAUCAUUUAAAGAGUGCGUAAUAGCUCACUAGUCGAGUGACACUGCGCCGAAAAUGUACCGGGGCUAAACAUAU